UAGGGAAUCUUCCACAAUGGACGAAAGUCUGAUGGAGCAACGCCGCGUGAGUGAAGAAGGGUUUCGGCUCGUAAAGCUCUGUUGUUAAAGAAGAACGUGGGUAAGAGUAACUGUUUACCCAGUGACGGUAUUUAACCAGAAAGCCACGGCUAACUACGUGCCGG
RNAcentral lists this ribosomal RNA (164 nucleotides) under uncultured bacterium. RNAcentral's name for it is "partial 16S ribosomal RNA". It matches the Rfam family "Bacterial small subunit ribosomal RNA", at positions 355 to 511 of the family's 1533-position model. The record is from RNAcentral.